RNAcentral lists this long non-coding RNA (1606 nucleotides) under Daphnia pulex (common water flea). RNAcentral's name for it is "uncharacterized LOC124209227". The record is from RNAcentral. Lineage: Eukaryota; Metazoa; Arthropoda; Branchiopoda; Diplostraca; Daphniidae.
AUUGUCACUCCGACCGUUCCCGAGCGUACCAGGCGAACGCUGGCACGGGCGAAGGUAUUACGAGCGCCAUUUCGUGUGGAGGCCUUUACUGCAAAUAUUGCGCAACAGAAAACCCCAGAGAAAAUUGCGAGUUUAAAUAUGGUGGAUAAAUAACAGCUGUGUUGCCGGUGUAAAACUGUCAAGAUAAAAAAUCUGAGGAAGUAUAGUAAUACCGCUCGAGGCCCAUGGCCUUUGACAACACAAUUCCUUCGUCCGUUUAUUUCAGAAGAACACCAUCGUUGCUGAGACUCAUGUGUAGUAUUGUAGUAUAAAUUUCUAAACCAAUUAACCGUAUAGUCCUGGUACCGACUUGUACCGCUUUAGUAUAUGUAGGAGAAAACAAGAGGUGAAAGGGUCCGCACGGCUUUGUAGGUCAAUGACAAAAUGGUUCUUGUUGCUGUUAUAACACACGGGCUCAUCCCUCUACAACAACUCUGGUAUAUACCCUUAUAUUGCUAUUGAAUGAAAUUUUUAAAAGUUCGUCUUUCAAUUAAAUUUCAUGAUAAAUAUACGAUUGUAAUUAUAUUUCCUGAUGCACCGGUUUCUCCAGUUGUCACUUGUCAAACUCAAAAACGGCCGCAAAAAAAAGGGACCGGAAGGUUACUCAAAUAUCCGAAAUUCUUUUCCGAGAAAUCAGAUUAAAAUUUCAUUUGAUACAAAUCACAUCUAGUCCGUCAAGUAUUUUUAAAUGACUUCAAAUAAUUUUCACUGCGCGAAAUGUAAAUGUGGUCCGGAUAUGGUACGAACGAAUAAGUUAUUAAUUGCAUGGAACCAAUUACCAAUUAUAAUUAAGAAAAUUUGAAUUGGUCGUUUCUGAAUAAUUAUUUCGCGCUAGUUAUUUUGCCCUAAUUUCAGUUUGUUCAUCCUACAUGUACAACUUCCUUCAGAGCCUUUCAUUCGUCCUUCACAGAGCACGGGAAUACCUAGCCCAGUCUCGCUAGCUAGUAGCUAAUCAUUUGCAUGAGCUGACUUUCGAAAUUUCCUGUACGCACCGCUUGUCUCCGGUUACUUCCAUAUCCUCCAGCGAUGUGGUGAAACGGAGAGGAGAAAAAGUCUGCGGUAUAAAAGAACUUGCGUUCACACCAGUCGAAACAUCCGCUGUGUAAUAACCAUCUCCUCUUGAGCUAAACGAUUUUUUCUCCCAGUGCCAAAUUAUCCGUCGACAAAUACAAUGGCUGGUAAUUUUCUAUUUGUGUGGAAUAACAAGCCAGAGUACGGUAUGCCUUUUAAGUCUAUGGCAUCUUCUAAUGAAACUGAGAUUAAAAACAAAUUUACGUCGACUACGUCGGCUGGAUACGUGAAUUUACCUUGGAAUUUACGGGACGGAAGGCGGACCUCGGACUCGGUACAGGUUUCAAGGUAUUACGGAACUGCUGCGGAUGACAAGUCCGAUGUGUCUACCAAGCUACUGAAGGCUCUCUACUAAAGUUGAUGUUCCUCGGAUUUUCUCCACAAAUCCAAUUAAAUGAUACAAUAAUUUCACUUGUUAAAAAUAGCUAAAUAUUUUAAAAAACAAAAUUACAAAAGCAUUUGCCAGUAUUGACAAUAAACGGAUAUACUCAACAAA